GGCACUUUGCAGGGAGAAGCCAAAAAAGCCACCCCAAACGCCCAGGCAGAUUCCUUGUUUGCCUCGUGUCCUGGGGGGCUCAAGAGCUGGCCACUUUUGAGCCCUCCCCCAGGCGGGCGGCGGGCAGUGAGGGAGCAUGCUCACCUGAGAUCUUCCUGCUCAGCACCCUUGCACGACGCUUAAUGAAGCCAGGAGCCGGAAUAUGACUUCACUCCGGCACACAGCAUCACAAAGCAGCGCACGAGGGAGCUAAGCAGGAAAAUCAGAGCUCCC
Pelobates cultripes (western spadefoot toad) is the source of this 273-nucleotide non-coding RNA. The record is from the annotation of a GenBank genome assembly. NCBI's taxonomy places the organism in Eukaryota, Metazoa, Chordata, Amphibia, Anura, Pelobatidae.